RNAcentral lists this long non-coding RNA (1023 nucleotides) under Homo sapiens (human). Its description in RNAcentral is "non-protein coding PCBP1-AS1:221". Lineage: Eukaryota; Metazoa; Chordata; Mammalia; Primates; Hominidae. The record is from RNAcentral.
GACAGACUGCGGCACGCCAGCGAUGGUGAUGGCCCGCUCGGUGGAGUUGGGCAGCAUAUCCCCCGCCACCUGGACCUGCGCCCCCGUACUCUCGCGGAUCUCUUUGAUCUUACACCCGCCUUUCCCAAUCAGGGAGCCGCACUGGGUGGCCGGCACCACCAGCCUCAGGGUGACCGGGGGCCUGCUGGCCGCGGUACUGUUGGUCAUGGAGCUGUUGAUAUCUUCCUCCAGCUUGUCGAUGAUCAUAGCGAAAGCCUUAAAGAUGGCAUUGGUGGGGCCGGUCAGAGUGAUGAUUCUCUCCGGACAAUUCCCCUCCGAGAUGUUGAUCCGCGCGCCACUCUCCUCGCGGAUCCUCUUAACCGACUCCCCUUUCUUCCCAAUGAUGCUUCCUACUUCCUUUCCGUGCAUAAGAAGCCGAAUGAGGAAGACAAACAUAAAGAUGAAGUGCUUAAUUCAAGGUCACACAAUGUCGGGGAUGGACCUCCAGAUUUCCUUACUGGUGAGACGUGGUCUUGUAACACAGUGGUUAAGAAUGUGACUUUGGAGCCAGCCUGCUAGGGGCUGAAUUCUGACUCAGCCAUUUACUAACUGUGUGACCUUAGGGAGGAGGACCUGGUUGAUAGAAGAAUUUAUCUCGUAGUCUUAACAUCCACUGUAAUUCCAAACUUUGAGGACGAUAGAGAUCAGUGGGCUUUGACUGCCCAGCAUGCAGUCUCCAUUCUUAGGUGGGUUCCCAAGCCUGUAAAAUGUAAGCCUUAUGCUGCUGAGGGCCAUCUUGCCACCCUGAGGGAAACGCUGCCUGAGAAUGAAACAAGCAUAAGUAAAAGCUGAGCUGUGAGAUGGAGCAAGAUGAAGGCCACAUGACAUCUUUGGAGCACCUGGAUCUAACUGUGCCUUAAGCUAGUCUAACCCUGAACAUUUCAUCAUUUCAUUGACAUGAGCCCAGGUUUUCUUUUUUUUUGGAUGGAGUCUUGCUCUGUCGCCCAGGCUGGAGUGCAGUAGCUCAAUCUCGGCUCACUGCAA